GCCACCUCGUAUCUCCUCAAUCCAGACAUGUCCUGGGUUCCGAACGUCUCCUGGGGAGCGGCAUGAUUGGAUCAAGGUUUCCCCAAUCCCGGUUCCCUUCUCUGUCAUUCUCUGGACCAGUCUGACUUGUUCUCGGGAGGUGGAUCAACUCAGAGAGGUGGUAUGUGUGGUAGCUAAGAGUCAGAUUCUGGAGCCCGUCUGCCCAGCCAGGACCCCCAGCUCUGCCACUUUACCGGCCAUCCAGCCUGGGCCUCCAGGGUCCAGCAGGGGGCUGUUCCAGCCACUUCACCAGCACCUGGAUUAUUUUCUUUCUUCCUGAACCUCAGCUUCCCCU
Molecule: long non-coding RNA, 334 nt
Organism: Balaenoptera ricei (Rice's whale)
Lineage: Eukaryota; Metazoa; Chordata; Mammalia; Artiodactyla; Balaenopteridae
Exons: 3
Source: RefSeq, a predicted model, not a curated record